Long non-coding RNA from Daphnia pulicaria, 1019 nucleotides. RefSeq lists it as uncharacterized. NCBI's taxonomy places the organism in Eukaryota, Metazoa, Arthropoda, Branchiopoda, Diplostraca, Daphniidae. The record is from RefSeq and is a predicted model, not a curated record. The transcript has 7 exons.
UGGCAACCCUGUUGGUUUUCCUCUUAAUCAUACGACUAAGUCUCAAUUUGCAUUCACUAUUCAACCGCUGACACUGACAGGUAAUGGUGGAACUCCUUACAAGUUACAAUGUUCAUGGUAGAUGAAGACUAGUAAGCGAAAAGUUUCAUCCGGUAUGUAGAUCAUGAGAUGUACCACACUGUGUUCUGGAAGUCCUGAGAAGUGCCCUCUUUGCUAGUACGCAUUGUGUCCUGCAAACAAAGACAGGUGCUGAAAGGUGGUUACAAGCUGCAUCACGUGUCUUCCGCGGUGUUUUACUGGAUCGCCCAACUUGGUGUUUGCGUAUAUGCCGGUCGGAGGCCUUCGUGAUUUGGUGUUGACUGGUUCGUAGUUUGACUACUUGGCGUGUCUUUGUAAAGUGGUCGAUCCCCUCGGUUAGAUACAUAUGGUCGCUGUGAUUGGAGUUCACUAAUCCAUUUAUGUUCUUAAGGAUGGACUGGUAUCAUUCUGCUGUCCGAUGUUCUCUCGCGAUACGUAAAUCGAUAUAUCUACCAUGCCUGAUGUAUGAGCGGUAUUGCGUUUCGUGGAAGUCAAUGAUGUGGAAGGCGUUUUCUUCUGUUGGCCUUAUUUGAAUUUAUCAUUCCCUGCACUUCUGUCAAACAUUAGUUGCUGAUGAAUACCGACCGUUGGUAGCUGCUUGGUACUGGCGAUCAACUUUCGCAGUUGUAAUUUACUUCACAUCUAUCAUAUUUUCAUUUACUCAAUGAUGCUAAUCUUUGAUCCGUUUAGUCCAAAUUUUCAUGAGGCUGUGUCCAUUUUUAAAUGUUCUUUUUUGUAACAUGUUGGUUUAGUUGCGUUGAAAUUUAAACGAAAGUCAAUAUAUGACAUGUUAUAUAAAAUUAUUUUUUAUAUGAAGUGCUUUAUAAUGUGAAAAUUCUAAUAUUUUUCUGUUAGUAUGUAUAAAUGUUUAAUCUAGAAUUAUUGUGUAAUAUCCGAAAAUUCUUUUAAGCAACAACGAAUUAAACAAAUCACAGCACGAA